Molecule: ribosomal RNA, 450 nt
Filed under: uncultured bacterium
Lineage: Bacteria
Description: partial 16S ribosomal RNA
Rfam family: Bacterial small subunit ribosomal RNA
Source: RNAcentral
GUGGGGAAUUUUGGACAAUGGGCGCAAGCCUGAUCCAGCAAUGCCGCGUGCAGGAAGAAGGCCUUCGGGUUGUAAACUGCUUUUGUACGGAACGAAAAGGCUCUGGUUAAUACCUGGGGCUCAUGACGGUACCGUAAGAAUAAGCACCGGCUAACUACGUGCCAGCAGCCGCGGUAAUACGUAGGGUGCAAGCGUUAAUCGGAAUUACUGGGCGUAAAGCGUGCGCAGGCGGUUUUGUAAGACAGACGUGAAAUCCCCGGGCUCAACCUGGGAAUGGCGUUUGUGACUGCAAAGCUGGAGUGCGGCAGAGGGGGAUGGAAUUCCGCGUGUAGCAGUGAAAUGCGUAGAUAUGCGGAGGAACACCGAUGGCGAAGGCAAUCCCCUGGGCCUGCACUGACGCUCAUGCACGAAAGCAUGGGGAGCAAACAGGAUUAGAAACCCCAGUAGUCC